GACGCUGACCACUGGUAGCACUGGAAGUGGCACCCUACUGAGUUGGGCGGUCGGAUGGAACUGACAACUAAUGGGACUGGCCCUAUUAGCGCACAUCCCUACCUUUUCAAGCAACUACCCAACACUUCCGAAUAUGAUGGCCUAGCUUACCACACCCGAAGCACACAUCACUACCCGCUCUACACUCACCCUGAUGGUGCCUACCAUACUUCUGACAUAAAAUAUUAGAAUGAGCACUACUAACACUGACUUGGGACUUAGAUCCUGGUGCCCUAUCCCUAUUGUCAUUUUUGAAUUUGGGUACUGGGCACUGGCUGAAAAGGGUGCUAGGAAUGAAGACCUUUAAUGAAACUGAGGAC
This 359-nucleotide long non-coding RNA is filed under the name Capsicum annuum. Its description in RNAcentral is "long non-coding RNA (CANN_LNC000742)". The record is from RNAcentral. Lineage: Eukaryota; Viridiplantae; Streptophyta; Magnoliopsida; Solanales; Solanaceae.